This 253-nucleotide ribosomal RNA is filed under the name uncultured bacterium. RNAcentral describes it as "partial 16S ribosomal RNA". It matches the Rfam family "Bacterial small subunit ribosomal RNA", at positions 524 to 776 of the family's 1533-position model. The record is from RNAcentral.
UACGUAGGGACCGAGCGUUGUCCGGAAUCAUUGGGCGUAAAGAGCGUGUAGGCGGCCACUUAAGUCCUGCGUGAAAUCUUGCGGCUCAACCGCAAGCGGUCGUGGGAAACUGGGUGGCUAGAGUGUGGGAGAGGAGAGUGGAAUUCCUGGUGUAGCGGUGGAAUGCGCAGAUAUCAGGAAGAACACCCGUGGCGAAGGCGGCUCUCUGGAACAUUUCUGACGCUGAGGCUCGAAAGCGUGGGGAGCAAACAGG